Schizosaccharomyces pombe (fission yeast) is the source of this 615-nucleotide non-coding RNA. The record is from the annotation of a GenBank genome assembly. Lineage: Eukaryota; Fungi; Ascomycota; Schizosaccharomycetes; Schizosaccharomycetales; Schizosaccharomycetaceae.
CUCUUAUUUUUAUUUUAUUUCAUCUUUUCCUUCCACCACUUUCUCAACAGCUUUGUCAGUGUCCAAAAACAUAGCUGCAUUUUCCAAUGCUGCCUCUUGCAGAUCGUCAUUCUCGUCUAACUCCUCCGUCGGCACUGGAUGAAUAGAGGCGCCGUAAAAUAUAAUCGAUCCCAUGCCAAUACAGGCUGAAAUCACACAUGCUGCCAUUGUACCAAUUGCCUUGCUAGUCCAGCCAGCUGGCAUUUCACCGGGAGGAGACGGUGCACCAGACAAAUCGGAAAUAUUCUUGUAGUUACCAGCACCAUUUCCGAUCGUUGGAACACCAUCCAACAUGCACUGCUCCUUCACAAAAUCAGGACUGGAGAUACUGGGUAUCAUCUCCGGUGCUUCAAUAAACGUAGCUAAUAAACCACUCUCCAUAUGCCAUUCAAUAUGGCAAUGAAUAACCCAGGCACCUGGGUUAUCGGCAAUGAAACGAAUGACAAUGAAACUUCCCGGUUCGAUUUCGACGGUGUCACGACGCAUUGGAUUGUCAUAGUAUGUGUGCGACUCUUGAUCCGAGUACAGUCCGGCAUUUUCUUCUCCACGCUCCAACACUUGAAAGGUGUGUCCGUG